Molecule: microRNA precursor, 62 nt
Filed under: Jaculus jaculus (lesser Egyptian jerboa)
Lineage: Eukaryota; Metazoa; Chordata; Mammalia; Rodentia; Dipodidae
Description: miRNA (ENSJJAG00000007070.1)
Source: RNAcentral
CUGGACCUCCAAGAAGUAAGCAGCUGGGUGCGGAUGGAGCCCUGGACUUGGAGGCAGGAGAC